This 1835-nucleotide ribosomal RNA is filed under the name human oral metagenome. Its description in RNAcentral is "bacterial LSU rRNA". It matches the Rfam family "Bacterial large subunit ribosomal RNA", at positions 829 to 2317 of the family's 2925-position model. The record is from RNAcentral.
CCAAUCGAACUCGGAGAUAGCUGGUUCUCCUCGAAAUAGCUUUAGGGCUAGCGUCGUGUUAGUAGCACAUGGGGGUAGAGCUCUGUAAAGGACUGGGGCGGGCAACUGUACCCACCCUUAACAAACUACGAAUACCAUGUGUGUAAUCACGGCAGUUAGAACAUCGGUGCUAAGAUCGGUGCUCAAAAGGGAAACAGCCCAGACCAUCAUCUAAGGUCCCUAAAUUAACGUUCAGUGGGAAACAAGGUGAGAUUUCUUAAACAGCUAGGAUGUUGGCUUAGAAGCAGCCAUUCAUUUAAAGAGUGCGUAACAGCUCACUAGUCAAGAGAUCUUGCGUGGAAAAUGUAACGGGGCUAAAACGUUAUACCGAAGAUAUGGAUUACACGCUAAGUACAAAGUUAAAGUUGUGUUACAAUCAAUUUAUGGAAAAUGAGAUUUACAUAGGUAGCGUUUAUAAACACUAUAAAGGCAAUAAAUAUGUUGUUGUAAGUAUAGCUGUUCAUACCGAGACGCUUGAAGAGCUUGUAGUUUAUCGAGCCAUUUAUGGCGACGGAGAAUUAUGGGCUAGACCUAAGAAAAUGUUUUUAGAUAAUAUUGAAAAGAACGGAAAGAUCAUUCCAAGGUUUAAAUUGAUUAAAAAACUUUGAUUUUGUUCUUAGUGUGUAGUGGUAGAGGAGCGUUCCUAUCAGCGGUGAAGUCGAAUCGGAAGGUUCGGUGGAGCGGUAGGAAGUGAGAAUGCUGGAAUGAGUAACCAUAAGAGAGGUGAGAAUCCUCUCGGCCGUAAGAGCAAGGUUUCCUGAGCCAUGGUAAUCAUCUCAGGGUUAGUCGGGCCUAAGCCGAGGCGCAGAGCGUAGGCGAUGGACAUCAGGUUAAUAUUCCUGAACCGGUUAAGUUUUGUACACUGUUCACGGGGAAGUAAUCGAAGCGGAUUCAUGGUUUAUCCGUCCAACCGAGCGGGAACGCAAAGGGAGUGAAAGUGAUUCUUCGGAGUCGCGAUUUUGGUGAAAGCCCUGGCUAGAAAAGCAGGUGUACGCGUGGACUUAGCCGCCCGUACCGCAAACCAACACAGGUGCUCGAGUCGAGUAGACUCAGGCUUACGAGCGAACCUUCGCUAAGGAACUCGGCAAUACAGCGACCGUAACUUCGGGAUAAGGUCUGCCCCCACUUCGGUGGAUAUCAGCCGCGUUCACUCAGUGAAUAUUAGGUUAAAGAGUACAUUUUUAAUCACAAAACGAAUUUUCUGAGAUAGAGCAAACGAAUUGUUCUUUUGAACGCGAACCUCUGACGUCUAACGAUGUGGGGGCCGCAGCAAAAGAGCCCACGGAACUGUUUAUCAAAAACACAGGUCUCUGCUAACACGAAAGUGGAUGUAUAGGGGCUGACUCCUGCCCAAUGCUGGAAGGUUAAGGGGAGCGCUUCACGGUGCGAACUGAAGCCCUAGUCAAUGGCGGCGGUAACUAUAACCGUCCUAAGGUAGCGAAAUUCCUUGUCAGGUAAGUUCUGACCCGCACGAAUGGAGUAAUCAUGUGGGCACUGUCUCAGCGAAGGACUCGGUGAAAGUGCAUUGGCGGUAAAGAUGCCGUCUGUCCGUACCAGGACGAAAAGACCCCAUGGAGCUUUACUACAGCUUUACAUUGAAUAUGGUUUCAACAUGUGUAGCAUAGGUGGGAGACUUUGAAGCAGAUACGCCAGUAUUUGUGGAGUCACCAAGUGAAAUACCACCCUUGUUGUGAUUGUGUUCUCACGCUGACCGUUAUCCGGUUAGCGGACCGUGUAUGGUGGGUAGUUUAACUGGGGCGGUUGCCUCCUAAAGAGUAGCGGAGGCGUUCAAAGGU